GGGGAUUUAGCUCAGUGGUAGAGCGCUUGCCUAGCAAGCACAAGCCCUGGGUUCGGUCCCCAGCUCCG
Non-coding RNA from Rattus norvegicus (Norway rat), 68 nucleotides. The record is from Rfam. NCBI's taxonomy places the organism in Eukaryota, Metazoa, Chordata, Mammalia, Rodentia, Muridae.